GCACAACGCGAAGAACCUUACCCACCUUUGACAUGUACGGAAUCCUUUAGAGAUAGAGGAGUGCUCGAAAGAGAACCGUAACACAGGUGCUGCAUGGCUGUCGUCAGCUCGUGUCGUGAGAUGUUGGGUUAAGUCCCGCAACGAGCGCAACCCUUGCCAUUAGUUGCUACAUUUAGUUGAGCACUCUAAUGGGACUGCCGGUGACAAACCGGAGGAAGGUGGGGAUGACGUCAAGUCCUCAUGGCCCUUAUAGGUGGGGCUACACACGUCAUACAAUGGCUGGUACAGAGGGUUGCCAACCCGCGAGGGGGAGCUAAUCCCAUAAAGCCAGUCGUAGUCCGGAUCGCAGUCUGCAACUCGACUGCGUGAAGUCGGAAUCGCUAGUAAUCGCGGAUCAGAAUGUCGCGGUGAAUACGUUCCCGGGUCUU
This 428-nucleotide ribosomal RNA is filed under the name uncultured bacterium. Its description in RNAcentral is "bacterial SSU rRNA". It matches the Rfam family "Bacterial small subunit ribosomal RNA", at positions 954 to 1382 of the family's 1533-position model. The record is from RNAcentral.